GCAGCCCCAUACAAAUAGACGUAAGGUUUGUUUUCCUGCUAAUCUGUUGGUUGAAUGAAAGCUCCUCCUAAGAACACUGCUAAAUGCUAGGUGCUUCAGAAGUGUUUUGUAUCAUUUAAAUAUGCACCUUAGAUAAAAUGGAAGGAUACCACCCUGUUUAAAUAGAGACAUUAAAAAAUUUGUCUUUAUUUCUCUGUAUUGUACGUUAGGUAUAUUUUUUCAUUUUUUCCUGUGGAAAGUGUAUUCUGUUAUCCCAUGUUAACGGCAAGAAAUUAACGGUGUGAAUAGAAAGCAUAGAGAAUAAAAUGGACCCAGAACGCCUAGGAUCUGUUCCUAAGUCUGUUGUUGAAUAAUUAUUCUGGCUGAUGCCUACAAACAAAUAUACCUGUGUUUUCACCUUGUGUAUUCUUCCUUCUUUCCCUUUUUCUUAUCGCUUUCUCUCAUUUCGCUGCCCAAACUUGUUUGCUCACAGGUACAUUUGUUUGGAGCUUUCAAGAAGGAGAGUCCCAGGGAGCAAAGCUUACUUAAUAGCAAGUACAGAAUGCAGAUCUCUGAUAUGCAGACUAAGGUGGAAGCAGUAAGUGAGGAAGGCCUAUUGCAGUAUUCAUCCCCUCUGCUGUGUAACAGGCGAAAUCUAAAAUCAGUAUAUUUCUUCAUAUUCUGAUGAUGUCCUGAUGAGGCCAGUAUUUUGUCAAGGAACGAAAAUUAAAGCAUUUAAGAAGAAAAAAGAUGAUUUUAAAGCUAAGGAAAAUCAUGGAGUUUAUUUAUAUCCAGUAAACUUGAGUAACUCAAUUUGUUUAACUUUUCAAAAAGACAACCUAGAAGGGAUUUGAUUGCUAUUAUGUGAAUAGUUCAUCCCUGACAAAAAGGAGUUGACAGAGAGGCCUCUGAUUUUUCAGAGAAAGACAUAAUAUACUUUGAUUUAUGGCGAAAUUCUAAUGAGAUACUAGUCUCAAAUAUUUAAUCUUCUGAAAAUAAAGGGGAGUCCAAAUGCAAAUUUUCUAUGUCCUGUCAUCUUAUGCCUAAAUUCUGGAAGUUAUUCCUUAUGAGAAGAUGAAAGAGAAAUAGGGAAACUAAGUGCAAUAGAGGUUUAGCUCACUUGUUUGUAUCACCCUUUGAUAUGCUUAUUGGUCUGGAAGGUAUUUACAAUGUGAAAAUGAUCAGUGAAAGUUAAGAUGCUGUCCUGUUUUUUAUUAACUGUAAUUAAAUACUGAGUUCAAUAUGAUUUUAAAAAAACAAAACAAAACACAGAGGGUGUUGCAACUGAAUUUCUGGUUUCUUCCUCCUCAUUACAUUCACUUUUUGUGACUUGACAUUUGUAUUUGAAUGCACAAAAGAUCUUUGUUAUCAGACAACUAUCUAAACCUCAUUGGAGAGGCUUUCCCCAGUUAGACUUAUGCACAAAGAGUUGGUCUGUGCAGAAGUCUGCAUAGGAAUACAGGUAGAGAUGAAAGCAAAAUAAACAACUUAAUUUAGAAAAUAGGAAAAUGUAGAGAUGAAGUUUGGUUAUGCAUUCCAAUUUCAGAAAGUCACGGAUAUGCCUAUCACUGGGUUGAUACCUGCUUACGUAUAUGGAAACUUUUUACAGGAAAGCCCUAUUUAUGCAUUCAGCUUGAGGGGGGGAAAUUAAAUCUGAUUGAAGUUUGUAAAAUUUAAUUUAAGUGAAAUCGCACCUGCUAGUGGAGGAGAAAAAUAUUGAGUUCAGAACUACGCAUUACUUAUUUUCCUCAGGAGGCGCUCAUUCAUGCUCCCAAAGCUCCAAACUGAAGGAAAACAUGAGUUGGGAACCAGUCUUAACUAUUAGACUGCCUCUUUUGGAACAAUUAUGGACUCUUUGUUCUUAUUUUCCUCUGAUGUUACAUGACAUGUGACUCCUAUUUGACUAUCACGAAAGACUCUUGAAAGAUGAAAUUCAGUUCCGUCGGAACAUCUUUCAAAAUCACAAAUAUGAGGAAUUCAUAGGCUUCUAUCUCCAUAAUUGUUUCAUUAGAUAGAGUUGGGCCAAAGUAGUAGUAGUCACAUUUAUUUAAAUCUUGUGACAGGUUCAUGUAAGAAAAGUUACCAACAGCACGAUGAUAAAUAUAUGUGAAACCAUUACAUUUUGAUUUCACUUUAAAUUACCAUUGGUUAUUUUUUACACUGUACCUUCUUACUAUCAUAGCAUUAAUCUUCACCAAGACUAACAGUUUUCCUGAAUGCCUUUCUAGGGGUACCUUUACAUUCUCAAAAUAAUAUAGUAUUGAUUAAAAAAGAUUAUUCAGAAAUGUACUAGCCACUUUGAUUUUGUGUGUUAUGUGGCUUGAUAAGUAGUUUUGUUAGUUCCAACAAUCCUUCCAGUACAGAGGCAAAGAUUUAACUCAAGUUUUUCAUCCAAGCACAAUUACACAUGGCAGUUCUUUUACGUAUUUUAUCCACUAAUAAUACAGACAAAUUUAAGCAAUAGCACUAUACCAAUAAGCCUUCAGUUUUUAAAGGUGUUUUUUCUUAAUUUAGAAAUAUUUACACUCAGUGUUUGGAUUAUUUUAUUCCAUGAUUCCCUAGUAAAUGUUAGUAUGUCUAUCAGAAAAAUGUUGUUUGUGUUGGAUUAAGAAUUGUUCUUGUAGGUAAUAUCGGAAAACUGCUUUCAAGGGGAAAAUUGCUACUUGAAUAUAUUUCUCAUGAAGUACUCACAUAAUCAUCAUUCUGCUGUCACAAUAAGCCGUAAAGUUAUUUGAUUUUUAAAAAGCUUAAGCCUGGUAAGGAAACAAUAUUUUCUUGUUGGCAUGUCUAAAACUAUUUCUUUUUUUUGCUGUACUUUAUAUGAACUUAAGAGCCUCUUGUAAAAAUAAAAAUAAAAAAAAAAUGAUACAGAUCAACAUACGUUGACUUUUGUUUUCUGCCAGUGGUAGUAGUUGGAUGGAAUGCUUAUCUCUACAUAUUCACAAAUAUUCCGCUGGGAGCAUUACAGCAUUCACCAUGCAAGUAGAGAGGUCAGAAAUGCCAGUGAGUUGAAAUGUUGAUGUGGAGAAAAAAAACAUUAUCUUUUCAAAAUUAAUGACUGGCAUUUUUCAUACGUCAAGCUUUAUGUAAUAAAAUGGAUGUAAAGGAGUUAUCUUUUCUUGUAAUAUGCCUUGGUUGUCAAAAAACAAAGUAGUUGCAUAAAAUCAUAACUUCUGUUAAGAAAUAAGAGGUAGUGUUCUUGACCAACUCUUUGCAGACCUCAUGGCAACUGGAAAUCGAAGUGCAGCCUUGUAGAGUAGCUUGCUUUCAUGUUUUCUCCAUGGUGCUUAAUGGUAUCUACAAUGACUAAAUGCAACAUGUUCCAAAGGGUGCAGUAAAUUGAGGCCUUAAUUAACCAGCUUUGGUUUUGGGUCUGAAUUAAUUAAAACCUUGACAGGUACAAAACUCUUAAUAGCUUUCCAUUAGAAGCAGCUACACAACAUUACUACACUUCGACGACAUAAAAGCAAAACAGAGGAACACCUGUUAGUGCCCAAGGAUCCAUUUAAAUUUAUUCAGGAAUGUCCUGCACAGAUGUGGGGCUGUUAUUUUUAUUAUUUUUUCUUUUUAGAAAAUCUCGUAACGUGAUUCGUGACCACUCUAGUCUUAGUGUCUGCCAUCACGUCUAAAUUGACUGCAAACAACUCUUUUGUUGUUUGUUGAGCUGCUUUCCACUGCUGUAACUUCUUGAAGUAGUUUCCUGCAUUGUGAAAGAGAAGGGGCUGCUGAGUAGCGAGCCAAAGUGACGGACCACCAGCUUCAGAGGAGGACACGUGGAAGAGG
Molecule: non-coding RNA, 3762 nt
Organism: Meleagris gallopavo (turkey)
Lineage: Eukaryota; Metazoa; Chordata; Aves; Galliformes; Phasianidae
Source: RefSeq, a predicted model, not a curated record